CUGCUGCCUCCUCCACCAUGGCUGCUGCCCUGGCUGCUCCCUCCUCCCAGGCUGUUGCCUCAACAAUGACUGAUGUCUCCACCCAGCCUGCUGCCUUCUCCACGCCAGGUACCUCAGCAUCUUCCGAGUCGUCUAUGGCUUUGGAUAGCUCUGGUAUGCCAGGUAUGGACAGGCGGAUUAUCUCAUGGAGCUUAGGAUUCAGCCCUCUCUGGCCCUCACCAACCAGCAGGUGAGACAAUUUUUGUCAGGCUCUGUGCCAUUCAUAAGAGUCCCAAGAAGAAGGGGACUGGCACAGUGUCCAGAUGGGACCUCAUCCUGGGGACUACAGGAAAAUCAGGCAGCGCAUUCUGGCCAAU
This is a long non-coding RNA of Megalobrama amblycephala (Wuchang bream), 356 nucleotides long. RefSeq lists it as uncharacterized. Lineage: Eukaryota; Metazoa; Chordata; Actinopteri; Cypriniformes; Xenocyprididae. The record is from RefSeq and is a predicted model, not a curated record. The transcript has 3 exons.